RNAcentral lists this ribosomal RNA (253 nucleotides) under uncultured bacterium. RNAcentral describes it as "partial 16S ribosomal RNA". It matches the Rfam family "Bacterial small subunit ribosomal RNA", at positions 524 to 776 of the family's 1533-position model. The record is from RNAcentral.
GACGAACCGUACGAACGUUAUUCGGGAUCACUGGGCUUAAAGGGUGCGUAGGCUGCGCAGCAAGUUGGGUGUGAAAUCCCUCGGCUUAACCGAGGAACUGCGCCCAAAACUGCUGUGCUCGAGGGAGAUAGAGGUGAGCGGAACUUAGGGUGGAGCGGUGAAAUGCGUUGAUAUCCUAAGGAACACCGGUGGCGAAAGCGGCUCACUGGAUCUCUUCUGACGCUGAGGCACGAAAGCUAGGGUAGCGAACGGG